RNAcentral lists this ribosomal RNA (465 nucleotides) under uncultured bacterium. RNAcentral's name for it is "partial 16S ribosomal RNA". It matches the Rfam family "Bacterial small subunit ribosomal RNA", at positions 28 to 507 of the family's 1533-position model. The record is from RNAcentral.
GACGAACGCUGGCGGCGUGCUUAACACAUGCAAGUCGAACGGAAAGGCCCUGCUUGCAGGGUACUCGAGUGGCGAACGGGUGAGUAACACGUGGGUGAUCUGCCCUGCACUUCGGGAUAAGCCUGGGAAACUGGGUCUAAUACCGGAUAGGAGCCAUUUUUAGUGUGAUGGUUGGAAAGUUUUUUCGGUGUAGGAUGAGCUCGCGGCCUAUCAGCUUGUUGGUGGGGUAAUGGCCUACCAAGGCGGCGACGGGUAGCCGGCCUGAGAGGGUGGACGGCCACAUUGGGACUGAGAUACGGCCCAGACUCCUACGGGAGGCAGCAGGGGGGAAGAUUGCACAAUGGGCGCAAGCCUGAUGCAGCGACGCCGCGUGGGGGAGGACGGCCUUCGGGUUGUAAACUCCUUUCGCUAGGGACGAAGCUUUUUGUGACGGUACCUAGAGAAGAAGCACCGGCUAACUACGUG